UCAGUCCAACGUGGCCCCAAGAAAC
Molecule: non-coding RNA, 25 nt
Filed under: Rattus norvegicus (Norway rat)
Lineage: Eukaryota; Metazoa; Chordata; Mammalia; Rodentia; Muridae
Source: RNAcentral